This 206-nucleotide ribosomal RNA is filed under the name Staphylococcus aureus. RNAcentral's name for it is "partial 23S ribosomal RNA". It matches the Rfam family "Bacterial large subunit ribosomal RNA", at positions 77 to 280 of the family's 2925-position model. The record is from RNAcentral. Lineage: Bacteria; Bacillati; Bacillota; Bacilli; Caryophanales; Staphylococcaceae.
UUUGGGGAGCUGUAAGUAUGCUUUGAUCCAGAGAUUUACGAAUGGGGAAACCCGGCAUAGGUUAUUUCAUGUUAUUGUUUUGUGAUUACAUAGCAGAUCAGAGGGAACUCCCGGAGAACUGAAUCAUCUAAGUACCCGGAGGAAACGAAAGAAAAUCCGAUUCACUUACUAGCGUCGAGCGAAAUGGUAAGAGCCCAAACAAACAA